AUGACAGAUGUAGGCGAAGAUGACAAAUGGUUGGGUGACGAAUUGGUUGAUGCUGUGAUUCAGAUCAUGCGUCAUGAUCAUCCUAAUGACAUAAGGGAUGGGCAGCUGGUUUACAUUGAGAUGGUGGCCGGUGUCGCUAUGCUCGAAAGAGAUGGUAAGGUAGAGAACUGCCACGAGGCCGCGUUGGCGGGCAGUCAUGGAACAACAAAAGGAGACAACUACCUCAGACAUGAUCUGGUUUUACUGCCUACGAACAUGGCGAACACCCACUGGUUCCUUGUGGUCGUAAACCCCAGAAGGAGGGAGAUUCAGAUUCUUGAUUCACUUUUCGGCUACCUAGAACGCACACAAGUGGUUCGCGUGAUACGUGGGGUGGAAGCACAUCUGAGAGCAUCGCUGCGAAUCAAUGGACCACAAAGCCAUGCAUGGCAAGACAUUAACGUGACCCAAUGGACAGUAAAGCAUGUGCGUGUGCCAAGACAAGAUGACAAUUCUUCUUGUGCACUCUACAUGCUGAAGAACAUCGAAUUCUUUAUGGGAGAAGAUCUUAGACUGCAUUAUGACCAAGCAUACAUCGACAAUUAUAGAAGAGAGCUGCCUGUUGUCCUUCUUAAUUCGACCUACAACAAAUUGAAGUCCAUGAAAAGGCUGAAGAGUACAAUGCUAGCCUAUCGGAUGCAACUGCAAUUGAAGAUCAUGAAGAUGCAAGCAUUUAAUCCAGCAAUGGUCCAUUCUUAG
This 738-nucleotide ribosomal RNA is filed under the name Triticum aestivum (bread wheat). Its description in RNAcentral is "partial small subunit ribosomal RNA". The record is from RNAcentral. Lineage: Eukaryota; Viridiplantae; Streptophyta; Magnoliopsida; Poales; Poaceae.